Molecule: ribosomal RNA, 253 nt
Filed under: uncultured bacterium
Lineage: Bacteria
Description: partial 16S ribosomal RNA
Rfam family: Bacterial small subunit ribosomal RNA
Source: RNAcentral
UACGUAGGGUGCGAGCGCUGUCCGGAAUUAUUGGGCGUAAAGAGCUUGUAGGCGGUUUGUCGCGUCUGCUGUGAAAAUCCGGGGCUCAACCCCGGACUUGCAGUGGGUACGGGCAGACUGGAGUGUGGUAGGGGAGACUGGAAUUCCUGGUGUAGCGGUGGAAUGCGCAGAUAUCAGGAGGAACACCGAUGGCGAAGGCAGGUCUCUGGGCCACUACUGACGCUGAGAAGCGAAAGCAUGGGGAGCGAACAGG